This 606-nucleotide ribosomal RNA is filed under the name uncultured bacterium. RNAcentral's name for it is "bacterial SSU rRNA". It matches the Rfam family "Bacterial small subunit ribosomal RNA", at positions 240 to 862 of the family's 1533-position model. The record is from RNAcentral.
AUCAGCUAGUUGGUAAGGUAAUGGCUUACCAAGGCAAUGACGGGUAGCUGGAUCGAGAGGUUGACCAGCCACACUGGGACUGAGACACGGCCCAGACUCCUACGGGAGGCAGCAGUUAGGAAUAUUGCGCAAUGGGUGAAAGCCUGACGCAGCGACGCCGCGUGGACGAUGAAGGCCUUCGGGUUGUAAAGUCCUUUUAAUUGGGAAGAUUAUGACUGUACCAGUUGAAUAAGUCACGGCUAACUACGUGCCAGCAGCCGCGGUAAUACGUAGGUGGCUAGCGUUAUCCGGAAUUACUGGGCGUAAAGAGUGUGUAGGCGGUAUUUUAAGUCAGAUGUUAAAUCUAUGGGCUCAACCCAUAGCCCGCUUCUGAAACUGGGAUACUUGAGGCCGGAAGAGGCAAGUGGAAUUUGCGGUGUAGCGGUAAUAUGCGUAGAUAUCGUGAAGAACACCAAUGGCGAAGGCAGCUUGCUGGGCCGGUUCUGACGCUGAGACACGAAAGCGUGGGGAGCGAACGGGAUUAGAUACCCCGGUAGUCCACGCCGUAAACGAUGAUCACUAGCUGUUUAGAGUUUCGACCCUCUAUGUAGCGUAGCUAACGCGUUA